Molecule: ribosomal RNA, 500 nt
Filed under: uncultured bacterium
Lineage: Bacteria
Description: partial 16S ribosomal RNA
Rfam family: Bacterial small subunit ribosomal RNA
Source: RNAcentral
AUUGAACGCCGGCGGAAUGCUUUACACAUGCAAGUCGAACGGCAGCACGGGGGCAACCCUGGUGGCGAGUGGCGAACGGGUGAGUAAUACAUCGGAACGUGCCCAGUCGUGGGGGAUAACGUAGCGAAAGUUACGCUAAUACCGCAUACGAUCUACGGAUGAAAGCGGGGGACCGUAAGGCCUCGCGCGAUUGGAGCGGCCGAUGUCAGAUUAGGUAGUUGGUGAGGUAAAGGCUCACCAAGCCAACGAUCUGUAGCUGGUCUGAGAUGACGGCCCGCCACACUGGAACUGAUACACGGUCUAGACUCCUACGGGAGGCAGCAGUGGGGAAUUUUGGACAAUGGGCGAAAGCCUGGUCCAGCCAUUCCGCGUGCAGGAUGAAGGCCCUCGGGUUGUAAACUGCUUUUGUACAGAACGAAAAGGUUUCUACUAAUACUAGGAGCUCAUGACGGUACUGUAAGAAUAAGCACCGGCUAACUACGUGCCAGCCGCCGCAGUAA